Molecule: long non-coding RNA, 425 nt
Organism: Oncorhynchus tshawytscha (Chinook salmon)
Lineage: Eukaryota; Metazoa; Chordata; Actinopteri; Salmoniformes; Salmonidae
Source: Ensembl
UAUUAAUCCGAGUCAUUUGCCGACCGUGUUUUUGGACAGGAGCACAACACAUUCCAUCCAACCCUGUAGGCUACUUUCCCUAAUCAUGUGUCUCUAUAUAGUCGCCGACACCGGAAACAGCUGUGUAUCCUAUUAUUCCUAGCACUUGGAUAACUAAGUUUUGGCAUUUUAAAGGUGGAUCAGUGUAAUAGUCUAUAUAAAAAAAUCUGUAUGAAAAAACACAUUUUUCACAACAACCGGCUGGAUGAUGCUGUGCAUGUGUGCGUAAAGUCUACAUUUUCUUCUGAACUUGGCGAUAAACGUCAGCUAUUCAAGUACUAAAGGAGUGGAACCACCAUUUUUCUGCUGGACCAGGAAGAAUCAGCUGUCUCUCUGUGGACCAGGAAGAAUCAGCUGUCUCUCUGUGGACCAGGAAGAAUCAGAUG